UCCCGGGAAGGAGGGGAGCUUGGGCCUGUGAGGUGGAGCCUCUGCUUCCCUCGGUGCUCCGCAGGAGUCGCCGAGGCGUCCUUCCUGUGGCUCGCUCUGGGCGGCCCGCAAUCCCUCCCUUCGGCCGCCGCGCCGCCGCCGCUGGAGGCAAGGGCGUGAGCUGCCCCUGGAGCCGUGAGGCCCGCUCGGCGGCUGCAGCUACGUGAGGCCGAGGCUUCCGAACAGUGCGGGCCCAGGGCUCCUGGGUUCAGAGCUGGAGGCUAGGGCCCCGGCGCGGCCGCCGGCCGAGGCUAGCCCGAGGCCCCGCUUGCCGGCAGAAAACCGCACCUCGCCGGAAGAGGACGCCGCCCAGGCGGCGCGGACACUGCCAGUUGGCGCACCGUCGCCGUCCGGCCUCUGCAGUAGUAUUUCGCCUGGGCCGCGUGGCCGUUCGCCCCUCCACCGCUGUACACGGCAGCACGGGGAGGAGACGGGAGCGGCUCUUGUUCCGUGGGGCGGCCCCCCACCCCGUGCUAGGAAACGGGCCUACGUGAAGGUCACUCCUCCUCGGCGAGUGCCCCUCGGAUACCCCGCGGGGGGACAGUCGCACCACCGCCACUGCCCGUUCCACCAUCUCUCCUUUGCUCCUUCCCCUCUCAAAAGGCACUAAUUUUAAGGAAAAAAAAUCUAAGUGAUAAAAAAGAACCAGGCUUUCCACCAAGUUCUUAAUAACCCAAAGCACAAAUUUAGUGAGGGGCAACUUUAUAAUAGCAGGAAGUAGGGUCCUUCAAUAAGUUCAUUUAUCAGAUUCAACUAUGCGUCCAUUAUUCUAGGCAUGUAGUUUGUCUUUCACCCACGUGUGUAUUUAUUGCAGGCGUCUGACCAACACACAAGUUCAGAGAAAAGAGCAGCAAAAACUGAAGUGAAUGAAAUGCAAAAGCAAGAAAUUAAAGAGGCCUUUGACUUAUUUGAUGCUGAUGGCUCUGGGACCAUAGAUGUGAAAGAACUGAAGGUCCUGAAAUAAUUUCCAAUUCCAACACAUUUCAAAUUCCAUGUUUGUGGGAUCAGACUUUAACGGUAGUCUUCAGGAAGCUUGAGAGUGUUAACAAACAAUAUCUUGUUAACAUUUAAAUCAUGUUCUAUACGUGAGCAAGCCAAGCCCCGGUGUACAGUAUACUGUAGCACAGCUGGGUUGAAACCUGGGACUGCUGACCUCAUUUCUAGGUUAAUGCUCAGUCCCUGUUAAAAAAGAGAAGCCUGGGCUGGAGUUGUGGCUCAGUGGUAGAGGGCUUGUCUAGCCUGUGAGAGGCACUGGGUUUGAGACUCAGCACAGCAUACAUUUAUUAAAUGAAAUUUCCAGGUAGUUGUAGAUUUUUUUAAAAA
This 1362-nucleotide long non-coding RNA is filed under the name Marmota monax (woodchuck). The record is from RNAcentral. Lineage: Eukaryota; Metazoa; Chordata; Mammalia; Rodentia; Sciuridae.